GACGAACGCUGGCGGCGUGCCUAAUACAUGCAAGUUGAGCGCUGAAGGUUGGUACUUGUACCAACUGGAUGAGCAGCGAACGGGUGAGUAACGCGUGGGGAAUCUGCCUUUGAGCGGGGGACAACAUUUGGAAACGAAUGCUAAUACCGCAUAAAAACUUUAAACACAAGUUUUAAGUUUGAAAGAUGCAAUUGCAUCACUCAAAGAUGAUCCCGCGUUGUAUUAGCUAGUUGGUGAGGUAAAGGCUCACCAGGGCGAUGAUACAUAGCCGACCUGAGAGGGUGAUCGGCCACAUUGGGACUGAGACACGGCCCAAACUCCUACGGGAGGCAGCAGUAGGGAAUCUUCGGCAAUAGACGAAAGUCUGACCGAGCAACGCCGCGUGAGUGAAGAAGGGUUUCGGAUCGUAAAACUCUGUUGGUAGAGAAGAACGUUGGUGAGAGUGGAAAGCUCAUCAAGUGACGGUAACUACCCAGAAAGGGACGGCUAACUACGUG
This 497-nucleotide ribosomal RNA is filed under the name uncultured bacterium. RNAcentral's name for it is "partial 16S ribosomal RNA". It matches the Rfam family "Bacterial small subunit ribosomal RNA", at positions 28 to 507 of the family's 1533-position model. The record is from RNAcentral.